UCCUUUUUUAUUAACGAUUGCUACGAUCGUCUUCUUCCUCCAACAUUUCCAUUCUUCCAUCAACAGAAGAGGUCGCAGAUAAAAGGCGGGAGCUGAUUUAUCAAUAUGAGUUUUAUCUUCCGCAAGGAGAAAACCCCAGCAGAGCUACUGCUGGGGAAUAAGAGAAUGUUUGAUAGAUCAAUCAGGGACAUUGAGAGGAAGAAGCAAGGGCUGCAAGCAGAGGAGGAAAAGCUCAUCGCUGAGAUGGCAGCUGUAAAAGUCAUGACAAAACAUCUUAUCAGAACAAACAUCAGAUUACAAAGUUUUAUGCCCUCAAUCACAGCUCCAAGGUGUAUCUCUUAGAAUUCAGCUUACUGGAACACACUACUAGGAUAAGGUUAUUGGCAGCUUUUAAUGAGAUCUCUGUUGCAGAGGAAUUGUUGGUGAGGACCUACAAGCCCACAUGAGAUUCAGAUGUAUACAUAAAGAAGGUGGAAUGAACAGACAGUUCAGGAGCAAGGUUGUGUGCAGUUGCACCAUUUGGAAGAUGGCUCAAAUGGUGCUGCCCACCUGCAUAUUCAUGGGGCUAAAAAGAUCCAAUAAAAGCUUUGGAGGUGACAGAACAAAGCUAAAGAUCACCCCUCAGAAUCUUGGUGUCUCUUUGAAGAGCAUGGGCAUGAUGAACGAAAGGCUUGCGGAUCCUCUCCACUUGCUUGGACAUGGAUUUGCAGCGGCACUCUCUGCAGGCAAUGCAAUAUUUCCCCAGCCAUCCGACUCAGAUAUCUCGCACAUUGUGGUGGUACCUCAUCUGCAGUGGCAACUCAGCGUAGCCACCAAGGAAAGCAUCCUCCAUCCACCAACAAAAGAUGAAUGAUUGAUCUGAUGCCAAGCAGUGUUUGUUGUCUUCGAGUGAGAUAUUCGAGUCACUCGAGCACUUCUCAUAGUUCUUUUAGGUGAGAGGAAAGUCGUACAAUGUGCUUUGCCAUCUCCUCCGUGGAGAAGGUGAGUCGUACGUAUACAACUUAGCAGCGUCUCUUUCUGUGGGUGCUACGAGACUGUGUGCCGGAGCUGAUCACAGUAAUCUGCAGAUACGACUCCUCUCAUGGUAAGAUUUGAAGCAUCACCGAGUGCAGCUGUCAGAUGAUGGAAAAGCUCAAUCACAGUCUCGCCGAGUGCAUUCACCUCAUCACCUCAUUUUCCACAACAAUGCCGUAUUAAUCAAUCCGUUCGGUGGAUGUUAAUUGACAAGCACAAAUUCCAGUGCCACUAAGAUGCUUCUUCAUUCUCCUUUUUGUACAAGUGGGUGUCUUUUCCACAGAGUGACUUCAGUUUCUUCGAUGACAAUCCACUUUAGGCAUCUCUGAUGUCCUCCGCAAGAGGUUUUCCUUCUUUCCCCAGAGACUAUAUUAUUACACUGUGGACCAGAGAUCAGCCAACAAAAACAGCGGAGAAAGCCAAUGGCCGCCAGUCUCCUCUCUAAACAAAAAGAUUAUAGUCUCUCUAAACACGAGAGACUAUUUGUAUCAACAAACGAGUUCAUCAGAGAAAAUGUGUCUUGUACAAGAUUGACAGUUUUCCAUGGAGUGUACAGACUCCUUCAAAAUAUGUACCGCAACCAUAGCAUCCAACUUGA
Long non-coding RNA from Musa acuminata subsp. malaccensis (wild Malaysian banana), 1612 nucleotides. RefSeq lists it as uncharacterized. The record is from RefSeq and is a predicted model, not a curated record. NCBI's taxonomy places the organism in Eukaryota, Viridiplantae, Streptophyta, Magnoliopsida, Zingiberales, Musaceae.